This 548-nucleotide ribosomal RNA is filed under the name uncultured Glomus. Its description in RNAcentral is "SSU rRNA". It matches the Rfam family "Eukaryotic small subunit ribosomal RNA", at positions 548 to 1098 of the family's 1831-position model. The record is from RNAcentral. Lineage: Eukaryota; Fungi; Glomeromycota; Glomeromycetes; Glomerales; Glomeraceae.
UUGGAGGGCAAGUCUGGUGCCAGCAGCCGCGGUAAUUCCAGCUCCAAUAGCGUAUAUUAAAGUUGUUGCAGUUAAAAAGCUCGUAGUUGAAUUUCGGGAUCAGAUUGUCGGUCGUGCCUCGGUACGCACUGGCAUUAUUGGUUCCUACCUUCUGAAGAACCGCGAUGUCAUUAAUUUGGUGUCGUGGGGAAUCAGGACUGUUACUUUGAAAAAAUUAGAGUGUUUAAAGCAGGCGCACGCUUGAAUACAUUAGCAUGGAAUAAUGAAAUAGGACGUUUGAUUCUAUUUUGUUGGUUUCUAGGAUUGACGUAAUGAUUAAUAGGGAUAGUUGGGGGCAUUAGUAUUCAAUUGUCAGAGGUGAAGUUCUUGGAUUUAUUGAAGACUAACUACUGCGAAAGCAUUUGCCAAGGAUGUUUUCAUUAAUCAAGAACGGAAGUUAGGGGAUCGAAGACGAUCAGAUACCGUCGUAGUCUUAACCAUAAACUAUGCCGACUAGGGAUCGGAUGAUGUUAAUUUUUUAAUGACUCAUUCGGCGCCUUACGGGAAAC